Molecule: ribosomal RNA, 812 nt
Filed under: uncultured bacterium
Lineage: Bacteria
Description: bacterial SSU rRNA
Rfam family: Bacterial small subunit ribosomal RNA
Source: RNAcentral
AGAGUUUGAUCCUGGCUCAGGAUGAACGCUAGCUACAGGCUUAACACAUGCAAGUCGAGGGGCAGCAUGAUCUUAGCUUGCUAAGAUUGAUGGCGACCGGCGCACGGGUGAGUAACGCGUAUCCAACCUACCUCAUAGUAGGGAAUAGCCCGGAGAAAUCCGGAUUAAUGCCCUAUGUGGUCCUAUGCAGACAUCUAAAUGGGACCAAAGGUUUACCGCUAUGUGAUGGGGAUGCGUCUGAUUAGGUUGUUGGCGGGGUAACGGCCCACCAAGCCUGCGAUCAGUAGGGGUUCUGAGAGGAAGGUCCCCCACAUUGGAACUGAGACACGGUCCAAACUCCUACGGGAGGCAGCAGUGAGGAAUAUUGGUCAAUGGGCGCGAGCCUGAACCAGCCAAGUAGCGUGAGGGAAGACUGCCCUACGGGUUGUAAACCUCUUUUGUUCGGGAAUAAAGUGCGGCACGCGUGCCGUUUUGUAUGUACCGUUCGAAUAAGGACCGGCUAAUUCCGUGCCAGCAGCCGCGGUAAUACGGAAGGUCCAGGCGUUAUCCGGAUUUAUUGGGUUUAAAGGGAGCGCAGGCGGCCCGUUAAGCGUGACGUGAAAUGUAGUUGCUCAACAUCUGCACUGCGUCGCGAACUGGUGGGCUUGAGUUCACGGUAGGAAGGCGGAAUUCGUGGUGUAGCGGUGAAAUGCUUAGAUAUCACGAGGAACCCCGAUUGCGAAGGCAGCUUUCCGCAGUGUUACUGACGCUCAUGCUCGAAAGCGCGGGUAUCGAACAGGAUUAGAUACCCUGGUAGUCCGCGCGGUAAACGA